CGGGGGGGGCUAAGCGUUGUUCGGAAUUACUGGGCGUAAAGGGCUCGUAGGCGGCCAACUAAGUCGGACGUGAAAUCCCCAGGCUCAACCUGGGAACUGCGUCCGAUACUGGAUGGCUUGAAUCCGGGAGAGGGAUGCAGAAUUCCAGGUGUAGCGGUGAAAUGCGUAGAUAUCUGGAGGAAUACCGGUGGCGAAGGCGGCAUCCUGGACCGGCAUUGACGCUGAGGAGCGAAAGCCAGGGGAGCAAACGGGAUUAGAUACCCCGGUAGUCCUGGCCCUAAACGAUGAUGCUUGGUGUAACGGGUAUCGAUCCCUGUUGUGCCGAAGCUAACGCAUUAAGCAUUCCGCCUGGGGAGUACGGUCGCAAGGCUG
RNAcentral lists this ribosomal RNA (372 nucleotides) under uncultured organism. Its description in RNAcentral is "bacterial SSU rRNA". It matches the Rfam family "Bacterial small subunit ribosomal RNA", at positions 526 to 896 of the family's 1533-position model. The record is from RNAcentral.